This 2130-nucleotide long non-coding RNA is filed under the name Equus caballus (horse). RNAcentral's name for it is "lncRNA (ENSECAG00000052553.1)". The record is from RNAcentral. Lineage: Eukaryota; Metazoa; Chordata; Mammalia; Perissodactyla; Equidae.
CCUCCCAUUCUGCACAAGAGAUGAUUGAUUAUUUAAAGACAUAGACAGGGCAUUGUUAAAGAAAAAAUUAUUCAUGACCUUGUUAGAGACAGUAAGGCAGACUUUAUUCAAGGGGGGCCACCUCAACAGGGUUUUGUAUUAGGGGAGAGAGAUACGACUCAGCUUUGACUCUAACAAGGACAAGUGGGGAUUUAUAGCCAAGAAGAAGAGUAGGGGUCAGUGGACGGAAAAUUACUAAGAGGAAAAAUCAGGGUUCUUACUAGAAGACUCAGAAUUCUUGCUGAAGGCAGGCCAGGGUGGGAGAUUGUUGAUAAACUAAUUUAGCAGGAUUCUUGCUCAAAUAGAUUCUAUAAGGGCAGAGAGGGAAGCCCAAGAUCUGGCCUGGUCUAGCAGAGGGCUCACAGGAAUCUGGUUAAAAUUAGGUCAAAAAGAGAGUCUUUGUCAGCAGUAACCAAGAGUCAAUGGAGAUUACAAAGUUAGUGCAAUAAUGAUUAACCCUUAGUAUGGCCUGUUGCUGUUCUAAAAGCUUUGCAAUAUUAAUUUGUUUAAUCUUCACAAUAAUCAUGUGAGUAGAUAAUAUUAUUAUCUUCAUUUUACAGGUGAGGAAACUGAGGCACAGAGAGCUCAUGCAACUUUCCCCAAGUCUUCCAACUAUUGUCUGAAGGACUUAAACCCAGGAAGUUGGUUACUGAAUUUAUUGUCUAACCACAUAGUGACCUGAGGAAACAUCUUUCCGGAAAGGUUCAAUCUUUCACAUUUGAAUGAUCCUUAUAUAUCCUCAAACUUUCCAGAAGACAACCUGUGGCUAUGUAUUUUUUCAGUUGGCUUGUGCAGCACUUCUCAAAGUGUGGUCAAUGGACUCCUGGGGAGAUCCUCUGUGGAGUCUGUGAGCACUAUUCGGAAUAGCCAAGACAUGGAAACAAUCCAAGUGCCCAUCAAUUGAUGACUGGAUAAAGAAGAUGUGGUAUAUAUAUAUAUAUAUAUACACACAGUAGAAUACUACUCAGCUAUAAAAAAAGACAAAAUCAUCCCAUUUGCAACAACAUGGAUGGACCUGGAGGGUAUUAUGCUAAGUGAAAUAAGCCAGACUGAGAAAGGUGAACACCAUAUGAUUUCACUUAUAUGCAAAAUAUAAACAAACACAUGGACAAAGAAAAUAGUUCAGUGGUUACCAGGGGAAGAGGGGUGGAGGGUGGACACAGGGCUUGAAAGGGACCACCCAUGUGGUGACAGACAAGAAAUAACGUACAAGUGAAAUUUCACAAUGAUGUAAACUAUUAUGAACCGCAAUUAAAAAUAAAUAAAUAAAUAAAAGACACAGCCACUUUUUGAGUUUCAGUGUAGUGUCAAAAAAAAAUUCACAAUUAUUUAAUAGCAAUCCACAGUGACUAUUAAAAUACGCGCUCCUCCCUUUUCUAAUAACAUAUCUGUGUGGGGCCAGAUUUUCUUCAUAUACUUUAAUCAAGACAACAUAUCACAACAGAAAGAAUGUAGGAGAUACAAGAAUCCAGUUGUCUUCUAGUAAUCCAGACAUCAAGAGAUUUGCCAAAAUGUAAAACGAUCUCCUCAUUAAUUGUUUUUUUGUUUUGGAAAAUACAGGUAUGUGGUUUUUUGUUUGUUUGUUUUUGGUGAGGAAGGUCAGCCCUGAGCUAACAUCUGUUGCCAAUCUUCCUCUUUUUGCUUGAAGAAGAUUGUCCCUAAGCUAACAUCUGUGCCCAUCUUCCUCUUUUGCUUGAAGAAGAUUGUCCCUAAGCUAACAUCUGUGCCCAUCUUCCUCUAUUUUUUGUAUGUGGGAUGCCACCACGGCACGGCUUGAUGAGCGGUGUAUGGAUCCUCGCCUGGGGUCCAAACCCGUGAACCAUGGGCCACCGAAGUGGAGUACAUGAAAUUAACCACUACUCCACCAGGCCAGCCCCAUAGUUAUGUUUUAUAAAAAUGUUACUUAUGUCAAUAAGUAGUGGGAUUAUUAUUGUUAUCCUUAAUAGAACUAAUAAAUAAAAAUAAAGAAUUUCUCAGUUCUAAUUUCUAAUGCUAUAAAUUUUAUAGAUAUAAUCCAUGUAAACCAAAGUUCUUUAAGGUUCUCAAUAAUAUGUAAGAGUAAAAGGCAGUGGUGUGUUGGAGCUGGCUGGC